ACUCCUACGGGAGGCAGCAGUGGGAAUAUUGCACAAUGGGCGAAAGCCUGAUGCAGCGACACCGCGUGCGGGAUGACGGCCUUCGGGUUGUAAACCGCUUUCAGGAGGGAAGAAAAUGACGGUACCUCCAGAAGAAGCUCCGGCCAACUACGUGCCAGCAGCCGCGGUAAUACGUAGGGAGCAAACGUUGUCCGGAUUUAUUGGGCGUAAAGGGCUCGUAGGCGGUUCAACAAGUCGGUCGUGAAAGCCCGGAGCUCAACUCCGGGACGCCGGUCGAAACUGUUGUGACUAGAGUUCGGUAGAGGUGAGUGGAAUUCUCGGUGUAGCGGUGGAAUGCGCAGAUAUCGAGAGGAACACCAUUAGCGAAGGC
Molecule: ribosomal RNA, 370 nt
Filed under: uncultured bacterium
Lineage: Bacteria
Description: bacterial SSU rRNA
Rfam family: Bacterial small subunit ribosomal RNA
Source: RNAcentral